GUGCUGUCUUCAGCAGCACAUACACUAACAUUGGAGUGAUACAGAGAAGAUGAUCAUGGCCCCUGUGCAAGGAUGACAUGUAAUUCAGGAAGCGUUCCAUAUUUAA
Molecule: small nuclear RNA, 106 nt
Organism: Nycticebus coucang (slow loris)
Lineage: Eukaryota; Metazoa; Chordata; Mammalia; Primates; Lorisidae
Source: RefSeq, a predicted model, not a curated record